GCUUACACAUGCAAGUCGAACGGGAUCCAUCAGGCUUUGCUUGGUGGUGAGAGUGGCGAACGGGUGAGUAAUGCGUGACCGACCUGCCCCAUACACCGGAAUAGCUCCUGGAAACGGGUGGUAAUGCCGGAUGCUCCGACUCCUCGCAUGGGGUGUCGGGAAAGAUUUCAUCGGUAUGGGAUGGGGUCGCGUCCUAUCAGGUAGUCGGCGGGGUAACGGCCCACCGAGCCUACGACGGGUAGCCGGCCUGAGAGGGCGACCGGCCACAUUGGGACUGAGAUACGGCCCAGACUCCUACGGGAGGCAGCAGUGGGGAAUAUUGCACAAUGGGCGCAAGCCUGAUGCAGCGACGCCGCGUGCGGGAUGACGGCCUUCGGGUUGUAAACCGCUUUUGAUCGGGAGCAAGCCUUCGGGUGAGUGUACCUUUCGAAUAAGCACCGGCUAACUACGUGCCAGCAGCCGCGGUAAUACGUAGGGUGCAAGCGUUAUCCGGAAUUAUUGGGCGUAAAGGGCUCGUAGGCGGUUCGUCGCGUCCGGUGUGAAAGUCCAUCGCUUAACGGUGGAUCUGCGCCGGGUACGGGCGGGCUGGAGUGCGGUAGGGGAGACUGGAAUUCCCGGUGUAACGGUGGAAUGUGUAGAUAUCGGGAAGAACACCAAUGGCGAAGGCAGGUCUCUGGGCCGUUACUGACGCUGAGGAGCGAAAGCGUGGGGAGCGAACAGGAUUAGAUACCCUGGUAGUCCACGCCGUAAACGGUGGAUGCUGGAUGUGGGGCCCGUUCCACGGGUUCCGUGUCGGAGCUAACGCGUUAAGCAUCCCGCCUGGGGAGUACGGCCGCAAGGCUAAAACUCAAAGAAAUUGACGGGGGCCCGCACAAGCGGCGGAGCAUGCGGAUUAAUUCGAUGCAACGCGAAGAACCUUACCUGGGCUUGACAUGUUCCCGACAGCCGUAGAGAU
This 955-nucleotide ribosomal RNA is filed under the name Bifidobacterium pseudocatenulatum. Its description in RNAcentral is "bacterial SSU rRNA". It matches the Rfam family "Bacterial small subunit ribosomal RNA", at positions 46 to 1007 of the family's 1533-position model. Lineage: Bacteria; Bacillati; Actinomycetota; Actinomycetes; Bifidobacteriales; Bifidobacteriaceae. The record is from RNAcentral.